GAUCCUGGCUCAGGAUGAACGCUAGCUACAGGCUUAACACAUGCAAGUCGAGGGGCAGCAUGAACUUAGCUUGCUUUUUCUAGGCGUCGACCGGCGCACGGGUGAGUAACACGUAUCCAACCUGCCGUCUACUCUUGGACAGCCUUCUGAAAGGAAGAUUAAUACAAGAUGGCAUCAUGAGUCCGCAUGUUCACAUGAUUAAAGGUAUUCCGGUAGACGAUGGGGAUGCGUUCCAUUAGCUUGUUGGCGGGGUAACGGCCCACCAAACCGACGAUGGAUAGGGGUUCUGAGAGGAAGGUCCCCCACAUUGGUACUGAGACACGGACCAAACUCCUACGGGAGGCAGCAGUGAGGAAUAUUGGUCAAUGGCCGAGAGGCUGAACCAGCCAAGUCGCGUGAAGGAAGAAGGAUCUAUGGUUUGUAAACUUCUUUUAUAGGGGAAUAAAGUGGAGGACGUGUCCUUUUUUGUAUGUACCCUAUGAAUAAGCAUCGGCUAACUCCGUG
This 504-nucleotide ribosomal RNA is filed under the name uncultured bacterium. RNAcentral's name for it is "bacterial SSU rRNA". It matches the Rfam family "Bacterial small subunit ribosomal RNA", at positions 15 to 507 of the family's 1533-position model. The record is from RNAcentral.